CAUAGGAAUCUGCCUAGUAGUGGGGGACAACCUGGUGAAAACCAGGCUAAUACCGCAUACGACCUACGGGUGAAAGCAGGGGAUCUUCGGACCUUGCGCUAUUAGAUGAGCCUAUGUCUGAUUAGCUAGUUGGUAAGGUAAUGGCUUACCAAGGCGACGAUCAGUAGCUGGUCUGAGAGGAUGAUCAGCCACACUGGGACUGAGACACGGCCCAG
This 215-nucleotide ribosomal RNA is filed under the name uncultured bacterium. RNAcentral describes it as "partial 16S ribosomal RNA". It matches the Rfam family "Bacterial small subunit ribosomal RNA", at positions 116 to 334 of the family's 1533-position model. The record is from RNAcentral.